This 710-nucleotide long non-coding RNA is filed under the name Homo sapiens (human). Its description in RNAcentral is "HSALNT0015131". Lineage: Eukaryota; Metazoa; Chordata; Mammalia; Primates; Hominidae. The record is from RNAcentral.
CAGAACUGAAGUAAGUUCUCCUUCCUGUAACCAGCAGAGUGUUUUUCCAGGUGGCUGACCAGGAUCACUGAGCAAAAGACAAUCACUCCAUGAGGCAGCCCUGGGGCACUUGCCUGGCAUCAGGAGCUCAACGCAGAGAACUGAAUGCUAAUGUUUAAUGUUUGUGCACUGGAGGGCACACAUCAUUCAAAAUUUGAUGGAGGCUGUUUAGAAUCUAUUUUAAUCCCAGAAGAUGACAUGCUCUUGGCGUGGAUAUGGGGAUAGCCAGCUGUAUUGAAAAAGGAUGACUACACAACAAAAGAAGAAAGGUGAGGGUCACCUUCAAGGGGAAAGGUAAGUGGGUGUCAUGGUUGAUUCCAUUCCGUGCUGGGGACUCCCUUGCAGGGCGUUCCUUGGGGGUGGAAUUUUUUGACUUGUGCUUUAGUCAAAACAACCAUGGGUCUGAGGAAAGAGGAGAGGAUGGCACAUGAGUAGGACAGAAGUGAUCGCUAAGGCUGGGAAAUGGCUGUCACUCACAUAUUAAAAUAGCCCAAAAGCCCAACAUUAGGGUUAUUAGUGAAAAUUUUUUCAAGUUUAGCACAAUUUUUUUGCUCUAUAUCUUAAAUAGCCUCACCAUUGUAUUAAACAUUUUUUAUCGUGGAAAAAUAUACAUAACAUAAAAUUUACUAUUUUAGCCUUUUUUUUUUCUGAGACGGAGUCUCGCUCUGUUG